This 492-nucleotide ribosomal RNA is filed under the name uncultured bacterium. RNAcentral's name for it is "partial 16S ribosomal RNA". It matches the Rfam family "Bacterial small subunit ribosomal RNA", at positions 28 to 507 of the family's 1533-position model. The record is from RNAcentral.
GAUGAACGCUAGCUAUAGGCUUAACACAUGCAAGUCGAGGGGAAACGGCAUUAUGUGCUUGCACAUUUUGGACGUCGACCGGCGCACGGGUGAGUAUCGCGUAUCCAACCUGCCCUUUACUUGGGGAUACCCCGUUGAAAGACGGCCUAAUACCCGAUGUAAUUCAUUGAUGGCAUCAGAUAUGAAUAAAAGAUUUAUCGGUAAAGGAUGGGGAUGCGUCUGAUUAGCUUGUUGGUGAGGUAACGGCUCACCAAGGCGACGAUCAGUAGGGGUUCUGAGAGGAAGGUCCCCCACAUUGGAACUGAGACACGGUCCAAACUCCUACGGGAGGCAGCAGUGAGGAAUAUUGGACAAUGGGCGCAAGCCUGAACCAGCCAAGUAGCGUGCAGGAAGACGGCCCUAUGGGUUGUAAACUGCUUUUAUACGAGAAUAAUUUGAUGCACGUGUGCGUUAUUGCAUGUAUCGUAUGAAUAAGGACCGGCUAAUUCCGUG